GUCACUGUGAGGUGCGUGCCACGUGUUUCCCAGAGGGAGGGGUCCCUACAUUGCCCCCCUUUUUAACUUGCCUAUUUUGCCAAAAAAUGGGCGGGUUAAAAAAUAACUGGCUUUUUGAAAUUUGAAGAGGUCUCUUCGUCUGACUGGGCCACGUGGCGAGUGGGGGUGCGGAAGCCAAAAAAGGCCUUUAUGACGAGCCGCCGACUCUGGGUAUUCCCAGGCAGCAUGUCGUUUCAAUGAUAGUUUGUUUGGACGUUUGGCUUUCCGAGGGCCUGUCCCCCUAUAAAUAGCG
RNAcentral lists this long non-coding RNA (292 nucleotides) under Vitis vinifera (wine grape). Its description in RNAcentral is "long non-coding RNA (VVIN_LNC004114)". The record is from RNAcentral. Lineage: Eukaryota; Viridiplantae; Streptophyta; Magnoliopsida; Vitales; Vitaceae.